UCCUAACAUUCUUGAAAAUGCAAGUUGUGUUUGUUUUAGCAAAUAAACUCACUCAAAACCUUAAAAAGACUUUGGUUAUAUUAAUAAAAAUUAUGCAUCUCAAUCCGACUACAGAAAUUUUCAUCAAAGUACUAAUUUUGCCUGGUUUCUAUGAGUGAAAAGUUGAUUAAACAUGUAAAUACAGCUUAAAACUGAAAGCGUGCAGGACUUUUUCACACAGCUGAACCUGAAGGGCACA
Molecule: non-coding RNA, 238 nt
Organism: Pseudonaja textilis
Lineage: Eukaryota; Metazoa; Chordata; Lepidosauria; Squamata; Elapidae
Source: RefSeq, a predicted model, not a curated record